CAGAAUAUAGUUUAUUUAAAAUAUUAAUUUUGGGGAUUAAAGAAAUUUAAUAAUUUAUUCUGA
RNAcentral lists this transfer RNA (63 nucleotides) under Lachesilla sp. LaspGHN. RNAcentral's name for it is "tRNA-Pro". The record is from RNAcentral. Lineage: Eukaryota; Metazoa; Arthropoda; Insecta; Psocodea; Lachesillidae.